This 290-nucleotide long non-coding RNA is filed under the name Mytilus galloprovincialis (Mediterranean mussel). Lineage: Eukaryota; Metazoa; Mollusca; Bivalvia; Mytilida; Mytilidae. The record is from RNAcentral.
CCGGAUUUAUUAAUAUUUAUUUGUGUCCUGGCAAUAUCACAAGAACCAUUACUGAUGAUUGGUGAAAGUGAAAAUCGUCAAUAUCAAAUUUGACCUCCAUUUUGUCAUCAGUAUCAACAUAUUAAAAUUUGAAAAGCUUAGAUUGAAUGGUUCGUGAGUAAAUGCAACAACGUGAAUGGAAACACCAUUUUACGAUCUUUGAAGAACCAUAACUCCUGAACGGUAAAAGUCAAAAUCGUCAUUAUUGAACUUGACCUCUAUUUUGUCAUCAGUAACAACAUAUUAAAUUU